AAAGUUAUAGUAUAUUUGUUUAGUAUAAGCUAUUGUCAAUAGUUAGGAUAUAAACUUUA
Molecule: transfer RNA, 59 nt
Filed under: Strongylus vulgaris
Lineage: Eukaryota; Metazoa; Nematoda; Chromadorea; Rhabditida; Strongylidae
Description: tRNA-Asp
Source: RNAcentral